AUUUGCCAGCAGCCCGCGGUAAUACGUAGGGUGCGAGCGUUAAUCGGAAUUACUGGGCGUAAAGCGUGCGCAGGCGGUUUUGUAAGUCAGAUGUGAAAUCCCCGAGCUCAACUUGGGAACUGCGUUUGAAACUACAAGACUAGAAUAUGUCAGGGGGGGGUAGAAUUCCACGUGUAGCAGUGAAAUGCGUAGAGAUGUGGAGGAAUACCAAUGGCGAAGGCAGCCCCCUGGGAUAAUAUUGACGCUCAUGCACGAAAGCGUGGGGAGCAAACAGGAUUAGAUACCCUGGUAGUCC
Molecule: ribosomal RNA, 295 nt
Filed under: uncultured bacterium
Lineage: Bacteria
Description: partial 16S ribosomal RNA
Rfam family: Bacterial small subunit ribosomal RNA
Source: RNAcentral